CUCGCAGCCGACCCACCAACAGCAACCUGCCGGCCAGGUCCUCGCGCCCAGUGCGCGUGCGCACUGCGCCAACCCACCACUCAGUCACCCCCCGCCCGCCACUGCCACGAGGAAGUGGGUGGAAACGAGAGUGAAAAGUCACACCCACCCAUAAGGGAGGAGAAGUGUGGGCGGAGCUAGGGGCAAAAGCCUCCGGGGCAGGGCAAAGGAGAGCGCCGCGCCUUCUUGGAGGUGUUGCUGAUGCAAAAAGAAUCAACAGAGAACUAUGGAGGGGAAAGAGUAUGCAUUUUCAUAGGAGUAUAAGAGCGACCUUACUAUCCACAGCUCCUUGCCCACUUACAUUUGCUUUUGCUUGAAGUUACAGGAGUAUAAAGCAAUUAGGAGUGCUACAUCCUCUUUUGAUGAAGGCUAGUUAUCCUCACUGGGAAAAGAAUAAGAAAGCAGACUCCAGACUCUUGGGAUUCAGCUUUGCAUGUAAUGUCUUGUUCCACCUGCCUCUUCUUUCCCCCAUGCACAGCUUUUCUUUCCAUCAAGACCUUGUCAUCCAAGAAUCUUCCCGUGGGCAGCAUUUAUACUUAAUCAUCCUUUCUGCAGCCCGCAUGAGCUCAGAUUUUCUCUGGCUCAUCCUUGGUAUCAUUUUCACUGAAGGAACAUGAGUGUACCAAAAUGCCCUGAUACCAGAAUGCUAGAGCAUCUGGCACAAAUAAAAAUGACUGUACUAUUUUCUCUGCAUUAUAAUCCUUUCAUGCUUCUCAGACAUGUGUUUUUGAUGGAGUAUCCCUAAAGAAAUACAAAAGUCAGUGAACCAGAAAAUGCCUUUCUUGAGAUAAGGGGGAAUUGGGCCACAAUCAUGAGUCUAUAAUAAUUAGAAAUUUGGGUCAU
Hemicordylus capensis (graceful crag lizard) is the source of this 882-nucleotide long non-coding RNA. RefSeq lists it as uncharacterized. The record is from RefSeq and is a predicted model, not a curated record. Lineage: Eukaryota; Metazoa; Chordata; Lepidosauria; Squamata; Cordylidae. The transcript has 3 exons.